RNAcentral lists this ribosomal RNA (482 nucleotides) under uncultured bacterium. RNAcentral's name for it is "SSU rRNA". It matches the Rfam family "Bacterial small subunit ribosomal RNA", at positions 26 to 518 of the family's 1533-position model. The record is from RNAcentral.
AGGACGAACGCUGGCGGCGUGCCUAACACAUGCAAGUCGAACGAGAUCCAUCCAGUGGCAACACUGGUGAAGAUCUAGUGGCGAACGGGUGAGUAACACGUGAGGAACCUGCCCCGAAGACCGGGAUAACUCUCCGAAAGGAAAGCUAAUACCGGAUACCCCCAACCGAUCGCAUGGUCGGAUGAGGAAAUGGACUCCGCUUCGGGAGGGCCUCGCGGCCUAUCAGCUAGUUGGUGAGGUAACGGCUCACCAAGGCGUCGACGGGUAGCUGGUCUGAGAGGACGAUCAGCCACACUGGAACUGAGACACGGUCCAGACUCCUACGGGAGGCAGCAGUGGGGAAUCUUGCGCAAUGGGCGAAAGCCUGACGCAGCAACGCCGCGUGGGGGAUGAAGGCUCUCGGGUUGUAAACCCCUUUCAGUAGGGACGAAAUCAGACGGUACCUACAGAAGAAGCCCGGCCAACUACGUGCCAGCAGCCGC